UUAACAUUUCUCCAUUACAACUAAAUUAAAAUAGAGAGGUAUUUAUGAUACUUUUUUAUUUCAAAAAAGUAUUAUCAUUUUUAGGUAGCUCGAAAUAAGCAAUAAAUAAACACCUCAAAAGGAAUAUUGGCGGGAGACGUCGAAAUUGUCAGCCAGUGACGUCAUGCAUUUUCGAGCUAACGUUGAGGUUUAAAGGGGGACGCAAUUUUAGGGGAUUUAUUCCGAUUUAUCUCCGAAUCCAGC
This 243-nucleotide long non-coding RNA is filed under the name Mytilus galloprovincialis (Mediterranean mussel). The record is from RNAcentral. Lineage: Eukaryota; Metazoa; Mollusca; Bivalvia; Mytilida; Mytilidae.